UGGGGAAUAUUGGACAAUGGGCGAAAGCCUGAUCCAGCAAUACCGCGUGGGUGAUGAAGGUCUUCGGAUUGUAAAGCCCUUUUAGUGGAGAAGAUAAUGACGGUAUCCACAGAAAAAGCACCGGCAAACUUCGUGCCAGCAGCCGCGGUAAUACGAAGGGUGCUAGCGUUGUUCGGAAUCAUUGGGCGUAAAGCGUACGUAGGCGGUUUAGUAAGUCGAUUGUGAAAGCCCCGAGCUUAACUUGGGAACUGCAAUCGAAACUGCUUUGCUAGAGUUUGGUGGGGGAUAGUGGAAUUCCUAGUGUAGGGGUGAAAUCCGUAGAUAUUAGGAGGAACAUCAGUGGCGAAGGCGACUAUCUACGCCAAUACUGACGCUAAGGUACGAA
This 385-nucleotide ribosomal RNA is filed under the name uncultured bacterium. RNAcentral describes it as "bacterial SSU rRNA". It matches the Rfam family "Bacterial small subunit ribosomal RNA", at positions 355 to 757 of the family's 1533-position model. The record is from RNAcentral.